RNAcentral lists this small RNA (32 nucleotides) under Bombyx mori (domestic silkworm). Its description in RNAcentral is "ovarian small RNA-19013". The record is from RNAcentral. Lineage: Eukaryota; Metazoa; Arthropoda; Insecta; Lepidoptera; Bombycidae.
UAACUGCCAAGUGUACGGGCACUCUUCCCGUA